RNAcentral lists this ribosomal RNA (301 nucleotides) under uncultured bacterium. RNAcentral's name for it is "partial 16S ribosomal RNA". It matches the Rfam family "Bacterial small subunit ribosomal RNA", at positions 509 to 809 of the family's 1533-position model. The record is from RNAcentral.
CAGUCGCCGCGGUAAUACAGAGGGUGCGAGCGUUAAUCGGAUUUACUGGGCGUAAAGCGUGCGUAGGCGGCUAAUUGAGUCGGAUGUGAAAUCCCCGAGCUUAACUUGGGAAUUGCAUUCGAUACUGGUUAGCUAGAGUGUGGGAGAGGAUGGUAGAAUUCCAGGUGUAGCGGUGAAAUGCGUAGAGAUCUGGAGGAAUACCGAUGGCGAAGGCAGCCAUCUGGCCUAACACUGACGCUGAGGUACGAAAGCAUGGGGAGCAAACAGGAUUAGAUACCCCAGUAGUCCCUGUCUCUUAUAA